Molecule: ribosomal RNA, 253 nt
Filed under: uncultured bacterium
Lineage: Bacteria
Description: partial 16S ribosomal RNA
Rfam family: Bacterial small subunit ribosomal RNA
Source: RNAcentral
UACGUAGGGCGCAAGCGUUAUCCGGAAUUCUUGGGCGUAAAGAGCUCGUAGGCGGUUUGUCGCGUCUGCCGUGAAAGUCCGGGGCUCAACUCCGGAUCUGCGGUGGGUACGGGCAGACUAGAGUGAUGUAGGGGAGACUGGAAUUCCUGGUGUAGCGGUGAAAUGCGCAGAUAUCAGGGGGAACACCGAUGGCGAAGGCAGGUCUCUGGGCAUUAACUGACGCUGAGGAGCGAAAGCAUGGGGAGCGAACAGG